Long non-coding RNA from Uranotaenia lowii, 629 nucleotides. RefSeq lists it as uncharacterized. The transcript is spliced from 3 exons. The record is from RefSeq and is a predicted model, not a curated record. Lineage: Eukaryota; Metazoa; Arthropoda; Insecta; Diptera; Culicidae.
AAACAACUGAGUUGGAAUCCAUCAAAAUUUUGAGUUGUUUUCAUCUAUUGACUUUCAAAGCCUGGAACUUAGCGAAGACGCAUACGUUUUCGAACAAAAUAGAUGAAAACAACUCAGAGAGUUCCAAAAACCAGUGUUGAUUGUUUGGAUGCGAUGGUCGGAGACCAGUUACGGAAUAAUCACAGUAAUCAAGCAAUCUCUACGGAAGCCAUCAUUCACAACUAUAAAUCAGCUCAAAUUAGACAGAGUGUGCUGGUGGGUGAGCGUGCCAGGUGGGAUAGCACGUAGUUCCUCCCGCUGAGUGCAGUCAAAUGGCCCGGCGGCUCUAAUUUUUUUUUGUGGUGAAAAUAAAACCAAUCGGAUAAAAAUGCACGCAUCCAUCUUCUGAAUACAAUCGUCUUUUUCUUUUUGAAAUCAGAAAUUCCAUUCAAAACCGCUUUGAAAUUUCAUAAAUUUUUGAUUUUUUUUCAUUCAGUCGAUCCAUGAACAAGCCUAAACCUCCCUGAACAAAAACAACUCAGAAUUCGUGAAAACCCCUACAAUUCAGUUUUGAGUUUUGCCGCUCUAAUCAAAAUUUGAGUUUUCCUAGUUUUGGCGCAUUUUGAAUUGUUUUCCUUCAAAUCUGAGUC